RNAcentral lists this ribosomal RNA (503 nucleotides) under uncultured bacterium. RNAcentral describes it as "bacterial SSU rRNA". It matches the Rfam family "Bacterial small subunit ribosomal RNA", at positions 21 to 518 of the family's 1533-position model. The record is from RNAcentral.
GGUUCAGGAUGAACGCUAGCGACAGGCCUAACACAUGCAAGUCGAGGGGCAGCACAAGGAGCAAUCUGAGGUGGCGACCGGCGCACGGGUGAGUAACACGUAUGCAACCUGCCUGUAAGCGGGGAAUAACCCGUUGAAAGACGGACUAAUACCGCAUAAUACUAAAUUACUGCAUGGUAAUUUAUUUAAACAUUUAUGGCUUACAGAUGGGCAUGCGCAUGAUUAGCUAGUUGGAGAGGUAACGGCUCCCCAAGGCAACGAUCAUUAGGGGUUCUGAGAGGAAGGUCCCCCCACACUGGUACUGAGACACGGACCAGACUCCUACGGGAGGCAGCAGUGAGGAAUAUUGGUCAAUGGACGAGAGUCUGAACCAGCCAAGUCGCGUGCAGGAAGAAUGUCCUAUGGAUUGUAAACUGCUUUUGCAGGGGAAUAAAGUGCAUCACGUGUGAUGUUUUGUAUGUACUCUGCGAAUAAGGAUCGGCUAACUCCGUGCCAGCCGCCGC